RNAcentral lists this ribosomal RNA (301 nucleotides) under uncultured bacterium. RNAcentral describes it as "partial 16S ribosomal RNA". It matches the Rfam family "Bacterial small subunit ribosomal RNA", at positions 509 to 807 of the family's 1533-position model. The record is from RNAcentral.
CAGCCGCCGCGGUAAUACAGAGGGUGCGAGCGUUAAUCGGAUUUACUGGGCGUAAAGCGUGCGUAGGCGGCUUCUUAAGUCGGAUGUGAAAUCCCUGAGCUUAACUUAGGAAUUGCAUUCGAUACUGGGAAGCUAGAGUAUGGGAGAGGAUGGUAGAAUUCCAGGUGUAGCGGUGAAAUGCGUAGAGAUCUGGAGGAAUACCGAUGGCGAAGGCAGCCAUCUGGCCUAAUACUGACGCUGAGGUACGAAAGCAUGGGGAGCAAACAGGAUUAGAGACCCCGGUAGUCCCUGUCUCUUAUAC